AACCUGCUGAAGGAUCAUUA
RNAcentral lists this ribosomal RNA (20 nucleotides) under uncultured eukaryote. Its description in RNAcentral is "partial 18S ribosomal RNA". The record is from RNAcentral.